RNAcentral lists this ribosomal RNA (460 nucleotides) under uncultured bacterium. RNAcentral describes it as "partial 16S ribosomal RNA". It matches the Rfam family "Bacterial small subunit ribosomal RNA", at positions 338 to 795 of the family's 1533-position model. The record is from RNAcentral.
CCUACGGGGGGCAGCAGUGAGGAAUAUUGGUCAAUGGGCGCGAGCCUGAACCAGCCAAGUCGCGUGACGGAUGACGGACCUACGGGUUGUAAACUUCUUUUAUAAAGGAAUAAAGUGAGCCACGUGUGCCUUGUAGUAUAUACUUUAUAAAUAAAGAUCGGCUAACUCCGGUCCAGCAGCCGCGGUAAUACGGAGGGUCCGAGCGUUAGCCGGUUUUAUUGGGGUUAAAGGGAGCGUAGAGGGGUUGUUAAGUAAGGUGUGAAAGUUUGCGGCUCAAACGUAAAAUUGCAAUUGAUACUGGUAGCCUUGAGUACAGUUGAGGUAGGCGGAAUUCGUGGUGUAGCGGUGAAAUGCUUAGAUAUCACGAAGAACUCCGAUUGCGAAGGCAGCUUACUAGACUGCCACUGACAUUGAUGCUCGAAAGUGUGGGUAUCAAACAGGAUUAGAUACCCUAGUAGUC